This 253-nucleotide ribosomal RNA is filed under the name uncultured bacterium. RNAcentral's name for it is "partial 16S ribosomal RNA". It matches the Rfam family "Bacterial small subunit ribosomal RNA", at positions 524 to 776 of the family's 1533-position model. The record is from RNAcentral.
UACGGAGGAGGCAAGCGUUAUCCGGAAUUAUUGGGCGUAAAGCGUCCGCAGGUGGCAAUGUAAGUCUGCUGUCAAAGCGUCUGGCUCAACCAGAUAAAGGCAGUGGAAACUACAUAGCUAGAGUAAGGUAGGGGCAAGGGGAAUUCCCAGUGUAGCGGUGAAAUGCGUAGAUAUUGGGAAGAACACCGGUGGCGAAAGCGCCUUGCUGGGUCUGCACUGACACUGAGGGACGAAAGCUAGGGGAGCGAAAGGG